RNAcentral lists this ribosomal RNA (550 nucleotides) under Bacillus anthracis (anthrax bacterium). RNAcentral describes it as "bacterial SSU rRNA". It matches the Rfam family "Bacterial small subunit ribosomal RNA", at positions 990 to 1533 of the family's 1533-position model. The record is from RNAcentral. Lineage: Bacteria; Bacillati; Bacillota; Bacilli; Caryophanales; Bacillaceae.
UCUGACAACCCUAGAGAUAGGGCUUCUCCUUCGGGAGCAGAGUGACAGGUGGUGCAUGGUUGUCGUCAGCUCGUGUCGUGAGAUGUUGGGUUAAGUCCCGCAACGAGCGCAACCCUUGAUCUUAGUUGCCAUCAUUUAGUUGGGCACUCUAAGGUGACUGCCGGUGACAAACCGGAGGAAGGUGGGGAUGACGUCAAAUCAUCAUGCCCCUUAUGACCUGGGCUACACACGUGCUACAAUGGACGGUACAAAGAGCUGCAAGACCGCGAGGUGGAGCUAAUCUCAUAAAACCGUUCUCAGUUCGGAUUGUAGGCUGCAACUCGCCUACAUGAAGCUGGAAUCGCUAGUAAUCGCGGAUCAGCAUGCCGCGGUGAAUACGUUCCCGGGCCUUGUACACACCGCCCGUCACACCACGAGAGUUUGUAACACCCGAAGUCGGUGGGGUAACCUUUUUGGAGCCAGCCGCCUAAGGUGGGACAGAUGAUUGGGGUGAAGUCGUAACAAGGUAGCCGUAUCGGAAGGUGCGGCUGGAUCACCUCCUUUCUAUGGA